GAUAAACGCUGGCGGCGUGCCUAACACAUGCAAGUCGAACGUCCUCUGGCAACAGAGGGAGUGGCGGACGGGUGAGUAGCACGUGGGUACCUGCCUCGAAGUGAGGAAUACCACCGGGAAACCGGUGACAACACCGCAUAGGCUUGGAAACAAGCAAAGUCGCACGAGAGUGAGACGCUUCGAGAUGGGCCUGCGCCUGAUUAGCUGGUUGGUGGGGUAAGAGCCUACCAAGGCGACGAUCAGUAGCUGGUCUGAGAGGAUGAUCAGCCACACUGGG
Molecule: ribosomal RNA, 277 nt
Filed under: uncultured bacterium
Lineage: Bacteria
Description: partial 16S ribosomal RNA
Rfam family: Bacterial small subunit ribosomal RNA
Source: RNAcentral